CCUCCCUCCUGCCAGCCUGCCUGCCCUCCAGGACCCCGUGAUGAUGCGGGCCACGAUGAGUUGAGGCGGACAACAGCUGUCCACCAGACAGCCAGCAAGGUUCCUGGAACCCAGCUCUCUGGGCUCAGGGCUCUGGCCCCCCCAGCUGCAGCCUCCCAGCUCCAAGCUGCCGGCUCUGCUGGAAGCUCCUACCUGCCUGCCUGCCUGACUGCCUGCUGGCCUUCCUGCCUUCCAGGACCCCACGACGAUGAGCAAGAGGAGAUGAGGGGGACCACAGCCAUCCAGCACACACCACAGCACAGCCAGAUGACCACCUGGGCUGGCUGUUGGUGUAGACCAUGAGCAUCUAUAGGCUCAGAUCCCAGAGCAUAUACUUUGUGCAGGGAAGGUUUCCCACGUGGCACUGCGGCUUAGGUCGGAGACUGGAGGCCACUGGGUUCCAUACCAAUCUCUGAUGGCUGCUGCUGGACACCAGUACCCUCUGAGGUGGUGCCAGGACCCUCGGAUGGCUAUAGAUAUGUAUCCUGCCCGUUUCUACUGUGCACGUGUGUGUGAGUGUGUGGGGGAUGCCUUGCCCCAGCAGGGCCCUCCUACAUGUUCGGGCCAAGGGGUCAGGAGAUUCGUAAGGAAGGCUAUGACCAAGGAAGGAGGCCAUCGGGGAGCACCAGGGGGCACCCGCACAGCUGACACACAAAUGGACGUGAGGGUCACAUGGACUGGUUCACCUGUCUGUGGCAAGUGAAGACAGAAGAACUGUACCGACACACAGAUGGGCACAUUUUCCUGGGGCCCAUGUCUUCGAGGAACCUGCAGCCUUGUCACCCUCUGUCUAUCUGUCUGAUCAGAAGGGAGUUACCUUGUUACCUGCCACCAAGGGUGCCAUAGCAAGCGGUGGCUGUGUCUGAUGACAGACAGGAGAGAGGUGGUGCCACGUGUUGUUGGCUGUCUCUGUCUUUGGGCUGCAUGUAGGGGAACUCAGGGUUGUGUGUGUAUAGGGCUGGGUCAGCAUCCAGUGUGUGCCAGGACUGGCCUGGGUCCUUCUGAGAGCAGGCACAGCCCCUGGAAUGAAUUCCUGCUGUUGGUCUUGCCUGCCUCCAUGGGGCCUCCAAUGUUGGGGUCUUUUCCCCCUACCCUUACCUUCAUCCUGGGCUCUGCAUAGAUCCUUCAGGCUCAUACGAUGGUCUGCAUCAUGCCCACUAGCUACCCUCCAGGGCUAACAAUGGAAGGUUGUUGGGGUCACAGAGCAGCCUGAUAUUGGCUCCUCCUCUGAGGUUGAGGAAAGAGCAGUGCCAGUACCCUCUAAAGGGACUGAAUCUCUCUGUAGAGCACAGCCUAGUGUGACCCAUAUAGUUCCACCCUCCAACUGGGAGGGGGACUGAAGACCUCUAGUUCUGAUGAGCCCACCCAUCACUGAUGAAUGUCAGAUUCUAAUUAAGUCACUUCCAGCAGGACUUCUAGAGCCAGGAGGUGGUUGUUGAGGAUUUGGGGAGCAGUGUAUUAAGUUGCGGGAGUGGCCCUGGGGGGGUUCAUGUUAGGUCUACCAGAGGGGUGAGGGUUAGAGAUCUGCUGGGAUUAGGGAGCCAGUGGCUUAGAGAAGCCCCUAUUCACAUGAACCCCCACCUCCUACUCCAUCCCCCACCCACCACAAAGGAAUGCCAGUUUAGAUGCUGGAUUAGAAUCAACCCCACCCUAGAGGAAGUUGCUGUGUUGUACCAAAAAGCAACUUGACAGUCUAGUUGAAUUGUUCCCCAUGGAAAAAUUUAUUGCAUUUCUCUUUUCCUAACGUAGCAUCCUGAAACAUGGAGAAAUCACUGGCUCACCUUAAAAGUCCCAUCAGAGCAGCAAAAGGAGCCAGCCAGCAGGGUGAACCACGCCCCUUCCCCAGGCCUGCCUCACACAGGAGACAAAAAUCAGCCCUCUUACUUCACCAAAGGAGGCGGGAGGAGAAAGGUGUCUGUCUGUCUGUCUGAUGCUGAGUGAAAAUCCAUGUCAACCUCUAGCUGAAUGUCAUUUCCAGUGGGAUACCUGUCUGCCUGUUUGGUUUGGUGGUUCUCAGAUCCAGAGAUCCGUGAAAAAACACAGAAAGAGUGUUCAGGCUUGGCUCCCUGGCUCCCAGCCUCCUGCGCUCACACUGGGCACUGAUGAGUGCAGGUUCACAACACAAACAUGCUCCCCCCGCAUCCACCCACACCCCAACUCUAACAACCCACACAGAUGUCCUGAUCAUCACCUAUAAAACUGGCAUAUGAAGCUCAGCUCGGCUCAGCACUGCACUGCUCUGCUUCACUUGGCUCUGCUCAGCUGGGCUCCAUAAACCCCACAUGUGUCUGUCUAUCCAUUUGCCCCCUGAUUGGACUGACUCCUAGAUCAUCAUCCAUGAACCCACUUGGGACCCGUUUCUCUCUGUUUGCUCUCUCUCUCUCUCUCUCUCUCUCUCUCUCUCUCUCUCUCUCUCUCUCUCUCUCUGCUUUUUGUCGUGCAAGGGGCCUUGCUUUUAGCUGUCUCUCAGCUGUCCUUGUGGCCCUAUGCCUUUUUUCACUCUCUCCUCCCUGCUUUUUCUCAGACCCUAACACCACACACACCCUUAUGCCUUGAUCUUCACCCGAGAGCCUAACACUCAGGGCUCAGCUGAGCUCUGCUGAUGGAUCCCAGAUCUACCUACUCCUCUUCCUGCCUGUCUGCUGGGAUUCCCACAUCUGUCCUACACAAACACCUUUGGAUCCUCUCUCCGAUCCCUCCCUGUUUUCAUCCCCAGUCCUGUCCCUUUUACCACCCAUCUGCACACUCUCUGUACCUUUCUCUGAGCCCUUAGACUCUUUCUGCCUCACUCUCUCUGUCUGUCUCUCUGUCUCUGUCACUGUCUCUGUCUCUGUCUGUUUCUCUGUCUUUCUCUGUCUCUGCUUUCCUCUGGCCUUUGCCUAGUUUGGGUUCUCUCUGGUUUUGUUUGCAGGGGGAGGAGCUGCAGUCUUUUUUCACUCUCUCGGGUUUUCUCCCUCCCUGGGCUGCUUUCAGUCUCUCUCUGCUUUCUUACCUUCCCCUGGGCUUUUUGGGGCUGGGUCUCAGUUGUUUGUGCAGCCUCACCCAUGUCUCUGUUAACUGGGGCCUUCCCCACUCUUUUACAGACCGUAACAUCACACAGACACACACACACACACACACACACACACACACACACACACACACACACACACAUACACACACACACACCUAUGCCCUGAUCAUCAACCAUGAGCCUAACACACACAGCAGCUCAGCUCAGCUCAGCUCAGUGGAUUCUAAUCUAAGCCUCUGCCUGGGUCUUGCUGCUGGGAUUGCCCUGUCUGUCUUCAGUCCCUUUGCCUCUUUUGGAUCCCUCCCUCCAUCCCUCAUUCCCCAGUUUAUCCCCCCCCCCUCCUUUCCCAUUUACCACUGGCUGGGCUGUCCCCUCUGUGCUAUUCUCCGGGGGGCCCUUUAACUCUUUGGACAUCUCUGUCUCUGGCUGUUUCUCCAUCUCUGUCUCUGUCUCUUUCUUUGCUUUUCUCAGGACCUCUGCUCUUUGAAGUUUUACAUUCUUGCCUUUUGGCUCUGGGCUCUGUGCUCUGGUUUCUGUGCUGUGGUCUCUGGGCUCUUGGAGGCUGGGCACAGAGUGGAGGGGACUGAGUGAGUGAGUGGGCUGCCUGGGAGUGGCAGACAGGAUGCAGGGAGUGGAGUAGGGUGGCAACAGGGUGUUGGUUCCGGAGGCUUAGCUAGAGGAGUGCUGGAUUAGGGCAGGCCAGUGGACCCCAGGCAGCUAGGGUUAGGAUGGCCUGGGUUAGAAUUAGCGCAGGGUUGCAGUUUAGCCAGCCUCUGGGCUUAACAGGCAGGGAUUUAGGGAGGCAAUGGGCUGCCACGCCCCAGCAGCCAUGCCACACCCCAGGCUGGAUUGGAUCUGCUGUGGGUUCAUGCACCAUGAAUUCCACAGCCUAGGUGAAAUUUUCCAAGUGGGAAAAGUCUGUCUGCUGACUGAACAUCGAAUUCUCCGAGGCUUUCCUGCUUCCUCUCAGCAUCCAAGGCCUCCGAGGUUCUCCUGUGU
This is a long non-coding RNA of Cavia porcellus (domestic guinea pig), 4051 nucleotides long. RefSeq lists it as uncharacterized. The record is from RefSeq and is a predicted model, not a curated record. The transcript is spliced from 3 exons. Lineage: Eukaryota; Metazoa; Chordata; Mammalia; Rodentia; Caviidae.